CAUUCAAUGUGCAGUUGGUCUAUUUUAUCACCAACAAGUAGAUCAACUACUCUGUCAAUCAUGUGACUGGCUCCCCCCUCUCUGCGUCAUAAAUGAGUAAACUGCUCUCAAGAGGCAGCCUGCUGAUGUCAUCGAUGCUUGCAUUCAGGGCCAGUUGGGGUUUCUAUGGAGAUGCCAAAAAAAAAUGUAAUUUAUGCAAUUUUCUGGUGACUGGGGAAGGAAGACAUGGGCCUAAUUGGUUACAAAAAAAUAUACCAUGUACAUAGCUACACUAAACUGACUGCUGCUAAAACCCUGCAAUUUUUUUAGGUUUUAUGACACUAUUUUACAAUUUCUGACACCUGUAUAAAAACGAUUGAGAGAUGAAAGAAAAAGUCAUGAGUCAUUCUACAACUGCGAAGCAUGGUAACUCCUAAUAGAAAUGUUAAUUUUGGUUCAGGCUGAGAUUAAUAAGAUUUCAUAUAAUAACAGCUGUACUGGCAGAAUAAGGUCAUGUAACCUGUAUGUGUGGUGUACAACUCUUAUCAGGAGUGGAUAGGUGGGUGGAAUAGUGACAUAUACAUUGCACACUUUGUUUAACACAUCAUCUUUGUUAUUUCUUAUUUCAUAUGAGAAGAUCUACAUAGUCAUAGAUGGUUACUCGCCAAAGUGAGAAUUCAAGGUGAAUUCAAAAUUUAAGGUCCAAAUAACAGAACCUGAAAAAUCCUCUAAAUCAACUCUUCUUUCAGUUUGCCAAUUUUGACCUUAAAUUAGAAAUUCUCUUUGAAUUCACUUUGAAUUCUAACUUUAGUGAAUAACCCUGAUAAUGUUCUCAGUAUCUAACCUAAAUUAAAAUGACAUGUGAGAUUUAAAGACUUAUUCAAUUAACCAUGAAUUGUGGUGAACUAAAAACAAAAUGGCAGAAGCAACAACAUUAGAAAAUUAGCACAUACAGGGUUUUCAUGAAAGUAUGAUUGUCAUUGAGCAUUGAGUUACAUAUGGGUAUAUGUGUAUAAAGCUACUUACAUACGUGUUUGUUUGAAUGAGGCCUGUCACUCUAAAAUUGCCUAGCCCAGGACCCCACAUAAGUUAAUGGGUGGCCCUGUUACCUCCCCUGGAUGAAAGAGCACCAUCCUUAAACCCUAGCAAUAAGAUGUUAAAACCAGCCCCCUUGAUUUCAGAGAGCUGGGCCAUCAUAGUAACUAUAGGGAUCCUGAAUCUAUACUCUCAUAUGACAAAAUGAGUCCAAUAUUAAGUUUGUUUUAAUUAGUAUUAUUACAUGAUACUAUUGAAAGCCUGAACGGAUCCAGCUUAUGUCUAUGCUGAUCACCCAACCAUGGCAUUGCAAUAUGCAGUGAUGCUGCACUAAAAUGGUAAUAAACUAUACAUUACACUUAAACCACACUACACACAUGUCAACAACUAGUUAUUUCUUGUUGAAAAAAGACACAAUAUCUGAACAAUAUUGAAGAUUUCUACUUUGUUACUCUAUUUUUUUAUUCCUGCAGAAUUAUUAUUAAGAAGAAAAAAAUCCCAACAUUUUCUGUAUGCUUUAUUUUGUUUCAGUCUGACACUAAAUUUGCACAAUAAAGCCUCCAUGCAUAUGUUUUUUGGUCUGUAUUCCGAUUUUCAGCACAUGAUGGUUAAUUGAUAUAUUGCAUAUUGUGAUGAAUUGGAUAUUAUUUUUUUGUACUAGUUGCGUGUUCGUUUUUUUUUUUAAGUUUUAGUUAAAAUAGUUAUUAAAAUAAAAUGACACCAGCUUACUAUAGAUAUGGUGGGUAUACAGUAGGUUAGGUUGGAAGUUUAUCAAACAAAAGAGGUGCUAUUCUGGGUGCCAAGUGAUAUAUACUGAGGAAUAUUGUAUUUAUUUUCAUGAUAAU
This 1859-nucleotide long non-coding RNA is filed under the name Pelobates cultripes (western spadefoot toad). Lineage: Eukaryota; Metazoa; Chordata; Amphibia; Anura; Pelobatidae. The record is from RNAcentral.